CCUACGGGUGGCUGCAGUGGGGGAUAUUGCACAAUGGGGGAAACCCUGAUGCAGCGACGCCGCGUGUGGGAAGACGGUCUUCUGGAUUGUAAACCACUGUCCCCAGGGACGAAAAUGACGGUACCUGGGGAGUCGGCUCCGGCUAACUACGUGCCAGCCGCCGCGGUAAUACGUAGGGAGCAAGCGUUGUCCGGAAUUACUGGGUGUAAAGGGAGCGUAGGCGGGGAUGCAAGUUGGGUGUCAAAACUACCGGCUCAACCGAUAGUCGCACUCAAAACUGCAACUCUUGAGUGAAGUAGAGGCAGGCGGAAUUCCUAGUGUAGCAGUGAAAUGCGUAGAUAUUAGGAGGAACACCAGUGGCGAAGGCGGCCUGCUGGGCUUUAACUGACGCUGAGGCUCGAAAGUGUGGGGAGCGAACAGGAUUAGAUACCCCUGUAGUC
Molecule: ribosomal RNA, 440 nt
Filed under: uncultured bacterium
Lineage: Bacteria
Description: partial 16S ribosomal RNA
Rfam family: Bacterial small subunit ribosomal RNA
Source: RNAcentral